This 561-nucleotide ribosomal RNA is filed under the name uncultured bacterium. Its description in RNAcentral is "bacterial SSU rRNA". It matches the Rfam family "Bacterial small subunit ribosomal RNA", at positions 338 to 899 of the family's 1533-position model. The record is from RNAcentral.
CCUACGGGAGGCAGCAGUAGGGAAUCUUCCGCAAUGGACGAAAGUCUGACGGACAACCCGCGUGAGCGAUGAAGCCUUCGGGUCGUAAAGCUCUGUUGUCAGGGAAGAACAAGUACCGGAGUANCGCCGGUCCUUGACGGUACCUGACCAGAAAGCCACGGCUAACUACGUGNCAGCAGCGCGGUAAUACGUAGGUGGCAAGCGUUGUCCGGAAUUAUUGGGCGUAAAGCGCGCGCANGCGGUUCCUUAGUCUGAUGUGAAACCCCCGGCUCAACCGGGGAGGGUCAUUGNAAACUGGGGAACUUGAUGCAGAAGAAGAGAGCGGAAUUCCCNUGUACGGUGAAAUGCGUGUAGAGAUGUGGAGGAACACCAGUGGCGAAGGCGGCUCUCUGGUCUGUAACUGACGCUGAGGCGCGAAAGCGUGGGGAGCGAACAGGAUUAGAUACCCUGGUAGUCCACGCCGUAAACGAUGAGUGCUAAGUGUUAGAGGGUUUCCGCCCUUUAGUGCUGCAGCAAACGCAUUAAGCACUCCGCCUGGGGAGUACGGCCGCAAGGCUGAAA